Magnolia sinica is the source of this 458-nucleotide long non-coding RNA. RefSeq lists it as uncharacterized. The transcript is spliced from 3 exons. The record is from RefSeq and is a predicted model, not a curated record. NCBI's taxonomy places the organism in Eukaryota, Viridiplantae, Streptophyta, Magnoliopsida, Magnoliales, Magnoliaceae.
UUUUUUUUUUUUUUUAAAAAUUUUUUAGGGCUGCAGAGAAGAUGAAACCCAAGGUUGGAAUCUCAGGUCCCUAAGAAAGAUGUUUCCAAAGACAAGCAUUGAAUUAUCUUAAGCAGGAAUUAGGAAGCUGCUUAUGCAAACCAGUCUAAACCUGCUCUAUGCUGUUACCUUUUUUGAAGAUCUUGAAUAAAACUAAUGUCGUUGAGAGGUUCCCAAUAUAUGACUGUUGUAGAAUAUGCACCAUCUCAACAUGUUCCAAAACCGUGGGCUAAAAAAGAUGGCCGUGAAGGGACCAUAUUCAAAGGUGAUAAUAUUUUAUCAAGAAAAGAAUAAUACAGAAAUAAAGAAUGAAGCUGGCGAUGAGACAUCACCACUUGGGAUAAGGACUCCUCUUCUCAAGAUGGUUCAAAAACCCCAAAAGAUAGAUUGACAAACAAUUUACAAGAUUUUGCUAAAUC